This 309-nucleotide long non-coding RNA is filed under the name Phoenix dactylifera (date palm). RNAcentral describes it as "long non-coding RNA (PDAC_LNC009429)". Lineage: Eukaryota; Viridiplantae; Streptophyta; Magnoliopsida; Arecales; Arecaceae. The record is from RNAcentral.
UGCGACUUAGAAUUUCGCGUGGGGUGCUGCGGUUCCACCAAUCUACAUAUCACCUCACCUAACAGUUAUUGGAGACAUAUAGACGAUGAGUGUACAACUCUUGUACAAUGCUUCGUAAGCAUAUUGAGCUAACCUGGUCUCCAAGUCAUAAGGACCUCACCUAACAGUUAUUGGACCCGUUCUUUAGUUAAGUCAGACCCACCGUAUAUUCCGCAAAAAUAAAGCUAUGAUUGGGUCCUCACCUAACAGUUAUUGGAGCCCAACCUCACCUUUACCCCACAACAUCUCAUGUUAAUAGAGAGGUCCAAU